RNAcentral lists this small RNA (964 nucleotides) under uncultured Gemmatimonas sp. RNAcentral's name for it is "bacterial SSU rRNA". The stretch from base 1 to 492 matches the Rfam family "Bacterial small subunit ribosomal RNA", at positions 1045 to 1533 of the family's 1533-position model. Lineage: Bacteria; Pseudomonadati; Gemmatimonadota; Gemmatimonadia; Gemmatimonadales; Gemmatimonadaceae. The record is from RNAcentral.
AUGGCUGUCGUCAGCUCGUGUCGUGAGAUGUUGGGUUAAGUCCCGCAACGAGCGCAACCCCCGUUCCCAGUUGCCAGCGCGUAAUGGCGGGGACUCUGGGAAGACUGCCGGUGCCAAACCGGAGGAAGGUGGGGACGACGUCAAGUCAUCAUGGUCCUUACGUCUAGGGCUACACACGUGCUACAAUGGUCGGUACAGUGGGUUGCGAGCCAGCGAUGGCAAGCCAAUCCCUUAAAGCCGCCCUCAGUGCGGAUUGGAGGCUGCAACUCGCCUCCAUGAAGCUGGAAUCGCUAGUAAUCGUGGAUCAGCUACGCCACGGUGAAUACGUUCCCGGGCCUUGUACACACCGCCCGUCACGCCAUGGAAGCUGUGAGCGCCCGAAGUCCGUGUCGCAACCCGCAAGGGGGCAAGCGGCCGAAGGCGAGCGCAGUGACUGGGGCGAAGUCGUAACAAGGUAGCCGUAGGGGAACCUGCGGCUGGAUCACCUCCUUAACGGAUACACGAGUAGGUCUUGGUCUCGAGCAAUCGAGCGGAGACUGAAAGUUUCCCGUAUGUCGCUCGCCUUGCGCAUCCACUCCCAAAUUCAGUUUCUGCUGAGACGCCACAGGCGUGGCGGACCUUCGGGUCCGUCACGCGUGGUGAGCGUCGAUGCUAUUUGACAACGGAAGUAGUGGUAGAUCGCGGAUUUGAGAAUCCUUAUUGAGAGACUCUCAAUUUCGUCCGAGAGCGUUAGCACGAUCAACGUUGUUGGAUGAAGCAGAUUGUCACUCGACGAAGGGUCCGAAAGGACAAACGUAAGAUUGUAGGCGCUCUGCUUGAGCACAGAUUGUUGUAGUCAAGCGAGUGAAGGCAUGUGGGGGAUGCCUGGGCACACGGAGGCGAGGAAGGCCGUGGUAAGCUGCGAUAAGCCAGGGGGAGUGGCACACACGCAAUGAUCCCUGGAUGGCCGAAUGGGGAAACCCGG